Molecule: long non-coding RNA, 640 nt
Filed under: Olea europaea (common olive)
Lineage: Eukaryota; Viridiplantae; Streptophyta; Magnoliopsida; Lamiales; Oleaceae
Description: long non-coding RNA (OEUR_LNC010672)
Source: RNAcentral
GGAAAAUUCUUGCAGGGUGCCCCACACUUCCAAGAUAAAUUUAUUUCUGGUAACAAUAUUUAAAAACAAAAAAGUUGAGCAGAAAGUCGUCAUAUUCUAUGUAUAUAAUAACCAAGCAUUGAUUUUAUUUCCGAUGAUAAGGUGCAAGCCAGGUGUCAUCACUCUAUAUGAUGCGUAGAGAAAAAAUUAUCGUGUUUCACACUGAAACUUAGACAGAUUGCUAUAUCAAAAGAUGGACAGUUCUAAUUUCUGAGAUGCAUAGCUAUUAAGUGAGAAAACUGGUUAAAAAUUAAUGUCAUAGAAUCGGAAAAUGAUGUUUGCAAAUUACUAUUUCUCGUGAUAAAAAAUCUUAAUUAAGCCAUAUGACAUUGACAGCAAGCACGUGAUAGAAAUUUCAUUUUAUAACACGGAAAAAGUAAAUACAUGAACAGCUGCAAAAGUACACACGAAACAUCACAAGUUCAUCUAAAAUACACGUGGCAUUUUUCUCAGUUUCUAGGUAAAAAAUUCCACUAGACGUGGCAUGCGCUAAUUUUCAUUAAGAAUGAAACUUAUCUUACUAAACCUUAUUAGCAAUAAAUUUUGGCUAGGCUAACGACUAUUUUUUCCACAGAUUCAUUUGAUUCAGCAUUACAUCUGU